Molecule: long non-coding RNA, 104 nt
Organism: Etheostoma spectabile (orangethroat darter)
Lineage: Eukaryota; Metazoa; Chordata; Actinopteri; Perciformes; Percidae
Exons: 3
Source: RefSeq, a predicted model, not a curated record
AUUUCAAAAAUGAACUAGUUCAGUGCUUAGUUCAUACUUCAAAACUUUGAACUACGUUCACAGUACCAAAAAUGAACUAGUUCAUAGUUUUUCCCAUAUGUUGC